Molecule: long non-coding RNA, 1145 nt
Filed under: Anser brachyrhynchus (Pink-footed goose)
Lineage: Eukaryota; Metazoa; Chordata; Aves; Anseriformes; Anatidae
Description: lncRNA (ENSABRG00000007257.1)
Source: RNAcentral
UUUUUCAGUACUUUUUCAACUAGUUCUUUUGAGGUUUCUAGUGCAGUCAAAAAUAAGUAUUCAUUAAUCAGGAUAUUGAAGAUUUUAGUGGUCAGCUUGUAUGUAUGUUUUUGUUUCAUUUAACGAAGUAGCUGUUACUGGGGGAUUCAGCUGAUGUCGGACUUUAUUAUUUUUGCAAGAAAGAUAACUGAUCUCAUUUGAAGCGGGCAUGCUGCAUAGAGCACUCUGACAGCAGCAGUGAUGAUCUUCCCCAGGUUCGCUCAGCACUUGUGGCAAAAUCUCUCCGCUUCACAAGGACUCCACCAGGAAAAUGGAUGCUGCUGGGGCAGCAGCCUGUCAAGGUGGUGCACAAAACGGAGGAGGAGGUACUCCUCUGUUUGGGUGCCUUCCAGACACGCAGCCUCCUGCGUCCUCUCCCUCACUGAGUUUGGUAACGUAUGUUCCCGGCUGUGUCAAAAAGCUGUAAUUCAGUGAGCAGGGUUGGUGUGCUGCUUCUGAGGAUUUCGUACAGGUGAGAGAACGGCUUUCCUGAAGGGCAGGGCUGUGGGGGCAGCCCUUGGGAAUUGCCCAGUGCCUCACGCUGAGGAGGGUAAAUCACCCCCUGAGCUUACGCACCUAUGGCACCGUCUGUCCUGCGCGCUUCACUGGUUGGAAAGGUGUUUUACAUGGUUUCUCCUAAGUAAUGUAUUACAUCAGCUGCUCUCGGGCAUAUAUACUACAGAUAAAACCAGUCAAAUGUUUAUGCUCUGCGGAGGUUCUCCUCCUUAAAACAAACAAAAAACCCAUGAAGGCCCAUGACCCGUGAUGCCCUUCUGUGGGUUGCAGUGUAGCUGCAGUGUAGGUCAGGAUGGACAAAAUCUGCCCUGUUUCUGUGAAAAGCCAUUCUCUCCAAACCAGCAUGGUGGUUUGGCAUCAUUUUACUAACAAAAGCACAAUGAAGUUGCCUCUGAUUUUAGCACACCCUAAGUCCUUCCCACUGAAUUAACUUGUUGAAAAAUAACUCUGAUGCCAGGACAGACUGAUCAGAAGUCUAAAUGUAUCUGGCUUUCCUUCAGCAGAUACAUCUAAUUCCAAUAAUAUUUUAUGUCACGGCUCUUUUUUUUUUUUGAACUGAUGGUGUGUCACUCACUGUUGACACUUCAUUC